AGAACGAACGCUGGCGGCGUGGAUAAGACAUGCAAGUCGAACGCGACUUAUUUUGUUAGCAAUAACAGAGUAAGUUGAGUGGCGAAAGGGUGCGUAACACGUGGGAAUUUACCAAGAAGUGGGGGAAUAGCUCGACGAAAGUCGAAUUAAUACCGCAUGUGAUCGAAAGAUCAAAGUCGGGGACCGCAAGGCCUGACGCUUUUUGAGAAGCCCGCGGCCCAUCAGCUAGUUGGUGAGGUAAUGGCCCACCAAGGCUAUGACGGGUAGCUGGUCUGAGAGGACGACCAGCCACACUGGAACUGAGACACGGUCCAGACACCUACGGGUGGCAGCAGUCGAGAAUUUUCACAAUGGACGAAA
RNAcentral lists this ribosomal RNA (360 nucleotides) under uncultured bacterium. RNAcentral's name for it is "SSU rRNA". It matches the Rfam family "Bacterial small subunit ribosomal RNA", at positions 26 to 380 of the family's 1533-position model. The record is from RNAcentral.